CAGGNCAAACUGCUGAGUNACACGUAGGCUNACUUACCCCUUAAGUUAGGGGAUAACUUUGGGNAAACUGAAGAUAAUACUUAAUAGAAAAUAAUGCCUGGAAAGGUUUUAUUUUUCUAAAGCUUCGGCGCUUAAGGAUAGGGCUGCGGUGGAUUAGGCUGAUGUUAGGGUAAAAACCUAACAUACCUAUAAUCCAUAGGGGCUGUGAAAGCGGUAGCCCCCAGAUGGGUUCUGAGACACUAACCCAGGUCCUACGGGACGCAGCAGUCGCGAAACCUUCGCAAUGCACGCAAGUGUGACGAGGGAACUCUAAGUGCUAGCGUUUUUGCGUUAGCUUUUCUAAAGUUUAAAAUGCUUUAGGAAUAAGUGAUGGGUAAGACCGUUGCCAGCCGCCGCGGUAAUAACGGCGUCACUAGUGGUAAUCACGAGUAUUGGGUCUAAAGCAUUCGUAGCCGACUUGUUAAGUCUCCUGUGAAAUCUCAUAGAAAACUAUGAGGCGUGCAAGAGAUACUGACAGGUUUGGGACCGGGAAGAGUUAGAGGUACUUUUAGGGUAGGGGUUAAAUCCUGUAAUCCUAAAGGGACCACCUGUGGCGAAGGCGUCUAACUGGAACGGGUCCGACGGUGAGGAAUGAAAGCUAGGGGAGCAAAGCGGAUUAGAUACCCGCGUAGUCCUAGCUGUAAACGAUGCCCGUUAGGUAUUGGAAAUCUCUCGUGGAUUUCCAGUGCCGUAGGGAAGCCAUUAAACGGGCCACCUGGGAAGUACAGUCGCAAGGCUGAAACUUAA
This 786-nucleotide ribosomal RNA is filed under the name uncultured archaeon. RNAcentral's name for it is "bacterial SSU rRNA". It matches the Rfam family "Archaeal small subunit ribosomal RNA", at positions 77 to 859 of the family's 1478-position model. The record is from RNAcentral.